UUACAGGCAUGAGCCAUGGUGCCUGGCCAAAAUUAAUACUUUCUAUAUUAAAUUUACAUAUAUAUAUAUUUUUUUGUUUUUGAUACCAGGUCUCACGCUGUCACUUAGGCUGGAGUACAGUGGCACAACCUCUGCUCACUGCAGCCUCCACCUGCCAGGCUCAAGCAAUUCUUCUGACUUAGCCUCCUGAGUAGCUGGGAUUACAGGUAAGUGCCGCCACACCGAGCUAAUUUUUGUGUUUUUUGUAGAGAUGGGGUUUCGCCAUGUUUCCCAGACUGGUCUCAAACUCCUGAGCUCAAAGCAAUUCACCCACCUUGGCCUCCCAAAGUGCUGGGAUUACAGGUGUGAGCCACCUUGCUCAUUCUAGUUUAAACUUUUGAGUGGUUUGUGUCUCCUGAUUGGACUCCUACAAAUACAGAAUUGAUGGUAGGAAGGGUACCAGGAGAUAGACCCACACAGAUGGGAUUUGGGAAUAAGUUUGGUUAUCCAAGGAGCAGUGCUGAGCUCCUUGCUAAUGGGAUAUGGGAUGCUGGUGAUUUCCAGGAAGUGACCUCACAAUGACUCAAGCUACCACUUACUGUUGAUUGUGAUGAAAUACCAGGUGAAGGCCGGGUGCGGCAGCUCACCCCUGUAAUCCCAGCACUUUGGGAGGCCAAGGCGGGCGGAUCACUAGGUCAGAAGAUCGAGACCAUCCUGGCUAACACGGUGAAACCCCGUCUCUACUAAAAAUACACAAAAUUAGCUGGGCAUGGUGGCGGGCACCUAUAGUCCCAGCUACUCGGGAGGCUGAGGCAGGAGAAUGGUGGGAACCUGGGAGGCGGAGCUUGCAGCGAGCCGAGAUCCUGUCACUGCCCUCCAGCCUGGGCGACAGAGUGAGACUCCGUCUCAAAAACAAAAAAAAGAAAUACCAGGUGAAGCAUAUGCCCUGCAAGCUUAGGGGUGCUACAGUUGACCACUGUAGCAGUAAAGAUGACUGAAGAAUAGCAUGGGAUGGAUCCUUUCGAAUGCACUUGAGCAGCAGUCUCCAACCACAGGGCCACAGAGCCAGAGGUGAGCAGCAGCUGGAUCUACCAUGAAAGACUUCUGAAUCCAGGAAAAGAGACUGACUGGGUAACAUGUUAUUCAGGGUCUCCCUCUCUUGUCCAAGGCUGGAGUGUAGUAGUGCUAUCACAGCUGACUGCAGCCUCAACCUUCCAGGCUGAAGCGAUCCUCCCAUCUCAACUUCCCACGUGGCUGAGACUAUAGGUGCUUGCCACUAUGCCCAACUAAUAUUUGGAAUUUUCCUAUAUGUGGAUUCCAGAGGGGUGACAGCGAAACGUGAGUAAGCAUGGAUUUUGGUAUAUGCAGAGAUGGGGGGCUGGAACUAAUUCUGUAUACUGAGGGACGACUGUAUAUGUUUUUACAAUUACGCUGUAGGAUACAUACUGUUGCAUAGCCUUGAAAAUAAUAAUUUUUAAUUGAGUGGAAUAAUAAUAAUAUUGAUAAAAGUAGCAGCUGGCCAGGUGUGGUGGCUCACACUGGUAAUCGCAACACUUUGGGAGGCUGAGGCAGGAGGAUGGCUUGAGGCCAAGAGUUUGCGAUAGGCCUUGGAAACAAAGGGAGUCACCAUCCCUACAGAAAAAUACAUGAAUUGGCCGGGCGCGGUGGCUCACGCCUGUAGUCCCAGCACUUUGGGAGGCCGAGGCGGGC
Molecule: long non-coding RNA, 1689 nt
Filed under: Homo sapiens (human)
Lineage: Eukaryota; Metazoa; Chordata; Mammalia; Primates; Hominidae
Description: HSALNT0123159
Source: RNAcentral